RNAcentral lists this ribosomal RNA (207 nucleotides) under uncultured bacterium. Its description in RNAcentral is "partial 16S ribosomal RNA". It matches the Rfam family "Bacterial small subunit ribosomal RNA", at positions 1294 to 1500 of the family's 1533-position model. The record is from RNAcentral.
CGGACUGCAGUCUGCAACUCGACUGCACGAAGCUGGAAUCGCUAGUAAUCGCGGAUCAGAAUGCCGCGGUGAAUACGUUCCCGGGUCUUGUACACACCGCCCGUCACACCAUGGGAGUCAGUAACGCCCGAAGUCAGUGACCUAACCGAAAGGGAGGAGCUGCCGAAGGCGGGACGGAUGACUGGGGUGAAGUCGUAACAAGGUAAC